This is a non-coding RNA of Procambarus clarkii (red swamp crayfish), 545 nucleotides long. The record is from RefSeq and is a predicted model, not a curated record. NCBI's taxonomy places the organism in Eukaryota, Metazoa, Arthropoda, Malacostraca, Decapoda, Cambaridae.
CUGCUGCUGCUGCUGCUGCCGUCCCAUUCUCACAUCCUGCAGGAGGGAGGGGGCCCCCACACUUCACCCCCUCCUGAAGGAGAUGACCUUCCUGCUGUUAAUACUGCUGCUGCUGAAAUUACUUACAGACCAUUGCCAACCACACAGCUGAACUGAGCACGGAAGUGGAGGUGGAAGUAGGGGCGGCCGUGGAGGUGAUGUGUCAGCGGUUCACGAAGGUAGUGCGGUCCUCCACCACCGUCCACCUGCUCCUCGACACUACCAUGCCUCAGCAGGAGCAGAAGCAGCAGCUCCAUACACCACUACAACAGGGGCAGCAGCAGGUCCAAACACACCACAAGGAUCAAGAACUAUCGUGAAAACUUGCUAGUUGACAUCUGAAGCAGAAUUGCAGGAUGUGAAAGCUGAAAGGAAGUUUAAAAUGUAGUUUAACAGACUUAUAGAAUGUCCCUUUAAGAGGAAUUUGAGUUGUAAAUCAAAUUUUAUGGAAGUUGUCAGACUUCAGUACUAAACCAUCUUCAAAUACAUAAAUCACUCAUAUUGAA